GCGCGCCCUGCGCUGCCGCCGCUUUGCUUUGCUUUUGCUUUGCUCGGGAGAGAUCGGAGCGAAGCACGCGAGGAAAACGGCGUGGCCCACAGGCGGGCCUGCGCCUCGGUGCGGACACGAGCACCGGUUGCCUGCGCUGUGCAGGUCCGUGUAAAGAUUUCCGAGAGGUGGUAGAGCUCACUGUUGCCUGAAUGAGGGGUUCUGGUAGGUGCUGGCGGGGGAGAACCCUCUCUGGGAGGGGGCUUUGUGUGGUGUGAGGAGCUGCCCCUCCGUCUGGGUUGUAGGCUCAGCUCUAGAAGGCUUCGAACCUCCUGUGCUGCUAGGAGAGUAUCAGAGCUCCCUUCGCAUUCCAUGUGUCCGCACGUGAUGAAAACUAUGUUGGUAGGGACAUCUGAGAGGCUGAUGAGUACCAACAUAUCUGAGCUGGACAUGGAGCAGAGUAGGGAGGCAGGCAGGCAUAUGGAGUGGCUGAGGCACCACGUGCUCAGCGCACCUGGGCUGCUGGAUCCACCCGCUGGCUGCAGUCAGUUGGAACAGUUCAGUGGUUCUGACCUGUUCCUGUGUAAGAUGAAUCGAUUACACUCCUCUCUCUCCUGUGGCUUCAAAAUAGGCCUGCUGCUGAAUAUGAAGAGUUGAUGCUACUUCACAAGGAUUUGAAUAAUGCACUCAGAAAAGAAACAUCACCUGGCACUGGGAAAAGCUACAGGAUGAACGUGCAAAGUCUGCCCUGCAUGGAGAUGGAAGCGUGCUUGUGCCCAGCAGAGCUAAUUUACCUUUGCUGAUGUUGGUGAAGAUGCUGCCUUUAUAACUGAAGACUUUGAAAAUGUUUCUCAUCAAGAUUACUGUUGUGGAACUGUGAAGUGGUGCAGUUGGUUGUGCUACAGGCAAAAAUUUGAGAAUGGAAGAACUGCCCAAGAUUUUGUGACAGAUACUUGCUUGAGUGAAGCUGAAGGGGGGAGCAUGUGAGAAAUAACACCAACUUUGAGGAAAGGACUGCGCUGUCUGCUACCUCACUGGGUGAGGAUGCAACUUUGGAACUGUAUGAGCAAACAGAAAGGUGGAAGAUCCCAGGAUAAUGGGUUGCGCUUACAUGAACAGCAUUAAAACAAGACUUUGUGAUGUUAAUAUUGCCUCAUACACUGAUUGGAGCUAAUAAAAUCUUGUAAACUCUA
Long non-coding RNA from Phasianus colchicus (ring-necked pheasant), 1172 nucleotides. RefSeq lists it as uncharacterized. The record is from RefSeq and is a predicted model, not a curated record. NCBI's taxonomy places the organism in Eukaryota, Metazoa, Chordata, Aves, Galliformes, Phasianidae.